GAGUGUUCUAUUUCAUAUCAUUGGAGUAGUAUAUGAUAAUAAUCUCACCUACAACUCUCAAAUAGUAAACUUUAAACCCAAAUAUAAACUAUAAAUUCAAAUAUAAACCAUAAACCUAAAUAGAAUAGAACAAAAUAAAUGAUAUUGUUCAUAUUGGUGAAAUUAUUAAAUGUCUAUGAUUGCAUAGAAAAAGUUAAUGCUGACCCCAACCAUACCCCCUCACCUUCUAAAUAUUAAACUCUAAUCACUAAACUCCAACUCAAAUAUUUCUAGACCCAAAU
Molecule: long non-coding RNA, 281 nt
Filed under: Brassica rapa (field mustard)
Lineage: Eukaryota; Viridiplantae; Streptophyta; Magnoliopsida; Brassicales; Brassicaceae
Description: long non-coding RNA (BRAP_LNC002660)
Source: RNAcentral